Molecule: non-coding RNA, 274 nt
Organism: Cinara cedri
Lineage: Eukaryota; Metazoa; Arthropoda; Insecta; Hemiptera; Aphididae
Source: the annotation of a GenBank genome assembly
AGAUGUGGUGCUAGAGGUUUAUGGAAAAGUUACGUAAUCUGGAAAGUGAGGAGAACAAAAUGAACAUGCAUAUACUAAGUAUUGUUAAAGAAAAAACGUAGGUAUAUUCGUAAAUGCAAAUAAAAUGAAACUUUUAAAAAUGAUUGGGCAAGUCUUCAGAUACCAUGCAGAACAGCUGCACAAGAUAAUAAAAAUUAUUGUAAAGAGCACGCGAUUGAAAGGAAGAUAACUGCAGACGACAUUGUUAUACUCUCAUUAUAUACCUAAGACAAAU